Molecule: ribosomal RNA, 1229 nt
Filed under: metagenome
Description: SSU rRNA
Rfam family: Eukaryotic small subunit ribosomal RNA
Source: RNAcentral
GGCACGCAAGUGUCGACGAUGCAUCAUAUAAAUUUCUGCCCUAUCAACUUUGGAUGGUAGGAUAGAGGCCUACCAUGGUGGCAACGGGUAACGGAGGAUGAGUGUUCGAUCCCGGAGAGGGAGCCUGAGAAAUGGCUACCACAUCCAAGGAAGGCAGCAGGCGCGAAAAUUCCACCCUUGCGACACGCAGAUGGAGUGACAAGAAAUAACGGAUCCGGGCCCAACGGGCGACGGAGAUUGGAAUGAGAGGAAUGUAAACAGUUUACACGAAAGCAACUGGAGGGCAAGUCUGGUGCCAGCAGCCGCGGUAAUUCCAGCUCCAGUAGCGUAUACUAAAGUUGCUGCGGUUAAAAAGCUCGUAGUUUGAGGUCGAGCGGGGAGUUACGGAGGGUUACUCUGCGAAGAAGCGGGGGAAGCCACCAACGGACCCGUUCUCAGAGUCGCGAGAGAGGGGCUGACGAUUACGAUUGUUGGUUUUGAAAGCGUGACGACAUACCCUGAGGAAAAUAGAGUGUUCAAAGCAAGCGAAGGGGGUCUAUCUGUAAGAGGGUAGGUUUCUGAAGCAGUGAAUAAGUUAGCAUGGAAUAAAAGAAGAAGCCUUUUGUCCGGCGCAAAUAAGGGUGGACUAUAGACGAUAGCCACGCUGCAGAGCUUCUUCGACCAGAAAGGGUUGGAAUCGGGCAAGAGGAAUGAUUAAUAGGGACAGAUGGGGGCAUUAGUAUUUCGUAGUCAGAGGUGAAAUUCAAGGAUUUACGAAAGACUAACAAGUGCGAAAGCAUUUGCCAAGGAUGUUUUCAUUAAUCAAGAACGAAAGUUUGGGGAUCGAAGACGAUCAGAUACCGUCGUAGUCCAAACCAUAAACGAUGCCGACUCGGGAUUGGGACGAGCACAAGAAGCCAGAUCUACGGGUUUGGUGAAAGGCCGUGCCAGGACCGUGAGGAGAAAUCAUAAGUUAAUGGGUUCCGGGGGGAGUAUGGUCGCAAGGCUGAAACUUAAAGGAAUUGACGGAAGGGCACAACCAGGAGUGGAGCUUGCGGCUUAAUUCAACCCAACACGGGGAAACUUACCAGGGCCAGACACGGGAAGGAUUGACAGAUUGAGAGCUCUUUCUUGAUUCCGUGAGUGGUGGUGCAUGGCCGUUCUUAGUUGGUGGAGUGAUUUGUCUGCUUAAUUGCGAUAACGAACGAGACCUUAGCCUCUAACUAGUGCGAUAAGGGUACUGCGUUAGG